AUGCCGAUGAAAGUGGUCAACACCACCUACAUGGGCAUGAACGCCCUCCAUGCUGCUGGUGACCUUGGCACGCUACCAGUCUAUCUGUAA
This 90-nucleotide ribosomal RNA is filed under the name Triticum aestivum (bread wheat). Its description in RNAcentral is "partial small subunit ribosomal RNA". The record is from RNAcentral. Lineage: Eukaryota; Viridiplantae; Streptophyta; Magnoliopsida; Poales; Poaceae.